GAAGAAAAAAACAUCAAUGAACGAUAAGAUCAGGAAACGACUGAACGCCUAAACCCUAAAAACCCUUGCACUCUUCAGUUGGCGCAACACUUUGAAGCCGCCACAGCCGUUCUCUUUCAUAGUCCUUCACCGUCACCGUCACCGUCAUCGUCGUCGUCAUUCACGUUUACCUAGUCAUUGUUGUCGUUCUCCUUUACCUCACAGUCGCUGCAGCUCUAUUGUUCACGCCAUUGCUCUGUCGACCUGUCGUUUACCACCUUGAAGCCCUAAAUUGCUUCGCUAUUAAAUUGCUUCGCCAUUUAGUGUGCCGGCAGGUUAUAAUCAGAAAAGGGGAAGGGAGAAUCCAACAAAUUUUCAACCAAGGAUCUGGUCAAGCUUUGCUGGUUACUUCAUGCCCUAUUUCCCCAUUGUACCAUAAAAUCUCAAAGCAAAGAAAUAUGUCAGAAGCAGAAAAGAAGACUGACACCCAAGAGGACCUUGACCGCAAGAAGAAGAAAGAAGAAAAGGCUAG
Molecule: unclassified non-coding RNA, 511 nt
Filed under: Hevea brasiliensis (rubber tree)
Lineage: Eukaryota; Viridiplantae; Streptophyta; Magnoliopsida; Malpighiales; Euphorbiaceae
Source: RNAcentral